UUUUUGAGAGCUAAUUGUAGCAAUAAACUUUUAAUUUAUUAAUAUAGAUUUAUCUAUUCUUGCGU
RNAcentral lists this transfer RNA (65 nucleotides) under Gyraulus laevis. Its description in RNAcentral is "tRNA-Lys". Lineage: Eukaryota; Metazoa; Mollusca; Gastropoda; Planorbidae. The record is from RNAcentral.